AGCACUUGGAGGAUGAAUAGGGAAAACUGGUAAAAUGUGAUGUACCUAGUAAUAUUAGUAAUUAAUAUUAUAUUAACUAAGUUAAUUAAAAUUCAAAGUAGGUUUUGAUAAUGACAAGUCUUGCUUAUGUCUUGACCAAGUCACGUGCCAGCAGUCGCGGUAAUACGUGGAAGAUAAGUGUUAUUCAUGUUUAAUAGGUUUAAAGGGUACCUAGACAGUUAAUUAAACACAAAACUGUAGUAAUUAACUAGAGUUUAAUAUAAGAAAGAUUGAGUACGGUGAGUGUAGAGAUAAAAUUCUGUCAUACCACUUAGGAACUGGUAAAUGCGUAGACAACUUUUUAUGUAAAAACUGACGUUGAAGGACGAAGGACCAAUAUAUUCCUCACUGCUUCUGGAUUGUUUUUUUUUUUUUUCCGCCC
RNAcentral lists this ribosomal RNA (421 nucleotides) under Chapsa thallotrema. Its description in RNAcentral is "partial small subunit ribosomal RNA". Lineage: Eukaryota; Fungi; Ascomycota; Lecanoromycetes; Ostropales; Graphidaceae. The record is from RNAcentral.